CUCUCUCUCUUUCUCUCUCUCUCUCUGUAAACUCAGUACUCUUGUCGUAGACCCAUCCGUCGCAGCCUCCGCCUUCGUUGUCGCUGCCUCCGCCUCCGCCUUCGUUCGUCGCACUUGCCAUCGCCUCCGUUCGUCGCCACUGCCACCGCCUCCGUUCAUUGUCGCUGCCUCUGCCGUCUCCGUUCAACGCUGUUGUCUCCACCCCCGUAUGUCGCAGCUGCCUCAGAGCAUUUUGCUAUUGCAUUUGUAGAUGGGGUCAAGUUUUCAUAUUGGAUGCUCUUUCCAAGUACAAGGCAGCUGAUGGUCGGGAAGCUGAGAAUACUGUGGAGCGUGUUACUCCACGAUUACAACAUGCAAAUUCUGCAGUUGUGCUUUCUGCUGUCAAGGUUCUUUUGGAGUUCAAAGAAUAUGCAACAGAAGUAGAUGUAGAUUUUGUAAGAAAAGUUGCUCGUGCAAUUGGACAUUGUGCCAUCAAGUUAGAGAGAACAGCUGAGCGAUGCAUCAGUGUGUUGCUGGAGCUAAUUAAGAUUAAAGUAAAUUAUGUGGUUCAAGAAGCUAUCAUUGUCAUUAAAGAUAUAUUUACAAGAUACCCUUUUCUAGUCCCUUAUGUCCUUUUUCCCUAUAAAUUUGCUCCAUAAGAUUGCUGUAAAUUCCAGUUUUUUUGUAUAUUGUAAUGUGACGUUAUUAUCUCAUAGCGGA
Long non-coding RNA from Diospyros lotus (date-plum), 699 nucleotides. RefSeq lists it as uncharacterized. The transcript is spliced from 3 exons. Lineage: Eukaryota; Viridiplantae; Streptophyta; Magnoliopsida; Ericales; Ebenaceae. The record is from RefSeq and is a predicted model, not a curated record.